RNAcentral lists this transfer RNA (74 nucleotides) under Schistocerca americana (American grasshopper). RNAcentral's name for it is "tRNA-Tyr". It matches the Rfam family "tRNA". Rfam says of the family: Transfer RNA (tRNA) molecules are approximately 80 nucleotides in length. Their secondary structure includes four short double-helical elements and three loops (D, anti-codon, and T loops). Lineage: Eukaryota; Metazoa; Arthropoda; Insecta; Orthoptera; Acrididae. The record is from RNAcentral.
CCUCUGGUAGCUCAGUUGGUAGAGCGGUGGACUGUAGAUCCAUAGGUCGCUGGUUCAAAUCCGGGCCCAGAGGA